This 1345-nucleotide ribosomal RNA is filed under the name uncultured bacterium. RNAcentral's name for it is "partial 16S ribosomal RNA". It matches the Rfam family "Bacterial small subunit ribosomal RNA", at positions 28 to 1381 of the family's 1533-position model. The record is from RNAcentral.
GACGAACGCUGGCGGCGUGCUUAACACAUGCAAGUCGAACGGAAAGGCCCUGCUUUUGUGGGGUGCUCGAGUGGCGAACGGGUGAGUAACACGUGAGUAACCUGCCCUUGACUUUGGGAUAACUUCAGGAAACUGGGGCUAAUACCGGAUAGGAGCUCCUGCUGCAUGGUGGGGGUUGGAAAGUUUCGGCGGUUGGGGAUGGACUCGCGGCUUAUCAGCUUGUUGGUGGGGUAGUGGCUUACCAAGGCUUUGACGGGUAGCCGGCCUGAGAGGGUGACCGGCCACAUUGGGACUGAGAUACGGCCCAGACUCCUACGGGAGGCAGCAGUGGGGAAUAUUGCACAAUGGGCGGAAGCCUGAUGCAGCAACGCCGCGUGCGGGAUGACGGCCUUCGGGUUGUAAACCGCUUUCGCCUGUGACGAAGCGUGAGUGACGGUAAUGGGUAAAGAAGCACCGGCUAACUACGUGCCAGCAGCCGCGGUGAUACGUAGGGUGCGAGCGUUGUCCGGAUUUAUUGGGCGUAAGGGCUCGUAGGUGGUUGAUCGCGUCGGAAGUGUAAUCUUGGGGCUUAACCCUGAGCGUGCUUUCGAUACGGGUUGACUUGAGGAAGGUAGGGGAGAAUGGAAUUCCUGGUGGAGCGGUGGAAUGCGCAGAUAUCAGGAGGAACACCAGUGGCGAAGGCGGUUCUCUGGGCCUUUCCUGACGCUGAGGAGCGAAAGCGUGGGGAGCGAACAGGCUUAGAUACCCUGGUAGUCCACGCUGUAAACGGUGGGUACUAGGUGUGGGGUCCAUUCCACGGGUUCCGUGCCGUAGCUAACGCUUUAAGUACCCCGCCUGGGGAGUACGGCCGCAAGGCUAAAACUCAAAGGAAUUGACGGGGCCCCGCACAAGCGGCGGAGCAUGCGGAUUAAUUCGAUGCAACGCGUAGAACCUUACCUGGGUUUGACAUGGAUCGGGAGUGCUCAGAGAUGGGUGUGCCUCUUUUGGGGUCGGUUCACGGGUGGUGCAUGCCUGUCGUCAGCUCGUGUCGUGAGAUGUUGGGUUAAGUCCCGCAACGAGCGCAACCCUUGUUCACUGUUGCCAGCACGUUAUGGUGGGGACUCAGUGGAGACCGCCGGGGUCAACUCGGAGGAAGGUGGUGAUGACGUCAAGUCAUCAUGCCCCUUAUGUCCAGGGCUUCACGCAUGCUACAAUGGCUGGUACAGAGAGUGGCGAGCCUGUGAGGGUGAGCGAAUCUCGGAAAGCCGGUCUCAGUUCGGAUUGGGGUCUGCAACUCGACCUCAUGAAGUCGGAGUCGCUAGUAAUCGCAAAGCAGCAACGCUGCGGUGAAUACGUUCCCGGGGCC